CGUAGGUAACCUGCCUGGUAGCGGGGGGUAACUAUUGGAAACGAUAGCUAAUACCGCAUAACAGUCGACAUUGCAUGAUGUUGAUUUGAAAAGGGGCAAUUGCUCCACUACCAGAUGGACCUGCGUUGUAUUAGCUAGUUGGUGAGGUAACGGCUCACCAAGGCGACGAUACAUAGCCGACCUGAGAGGGUGAUCGGCCACACUGGGACUGAGACACGGCCCAG
This 224-nucleotide ribosomal RNA is filed under the name uncultured bacterium. RNAcentral's name for it is "partial 16S ribosomal RNA". It matches the Rfam family "Bacterial small subunit ribosomal RNA", at positions 116 to 334 of the family's 1533-position model. The record is from RNAcentral.